This is a long non-coding RNA of Populus nigra (black poplar), 919 nucleotides long. RefSeq lists it as uncharacterized. The transcript is spliced from 5 exons. The record is from RefSeq and is a predicted model, not a curated record. Lineage: Eukaryota; Viridiplantae; Streptophyta; Magnoliopsida; Malpighiales; Salicaceae.
CAGCAGCUGAAGAUUGGCAGCUGAAGAGAAGGAGACAUUUCAAUCUGCUAUACUGCCAACUGAUUUUCCUCGCUUUCUCAGUGAUUCAGCUUCAGUUCUAUCACCAACAUGAUUUCCCUUCGUUCAAGCGAAUUUCCUCUCUCUUAACUAAUCAAUAUGGCAUUCCAGCCAUGGAUGUUCUGGUCGCUAGUGAGGCUAAUCAGUGCACUAAUGUCUCAGCCGACUGCCUCAGUCACAACUUUAUUGUAUUACAGCAAUCUUCUUCCUAGAAACUUGAAUUUAGAGCGGUUGGUUCGACCUGAAUUGCUUGAUGGAGAGAACCGUUUGUUCCUUUUUCUCAUAGAUUUCUUAAGAUGUCUCUGAGCUAUCGGAUCUCUUACUGCAAAAUGAUCCUUGCUGGAUCCGAAAGAAAGGGGUUGGGCUAUGAUGGUGCAGAUUGAUAUGGACGGUGGCACAGUUGAGGGAGCUCUGGUGGUGGUGGUGCCAGAGCAGAAGUAAGUGCUAGCUCAUCGGAAAGAAGACCCCGAUGCCUUGUUGGACUGCCACGAUCGCAUGGCGAAGGAGCAUUGGUCAGCACUCAGCAGGGGCGGAGCUACCUAGGCCCAUGGGCCAGAGAGGAGCUUGGCUCUCGAAGAUUUAAUUUAGUCCCUAUAGUCUUAUAGGUUUUUCAUACAUAUCCUUACAAUUUAUAAUUUUGCCUCGUAAAUAAUUAUAGUUAAGUACUAGUUUUAAAACCCGCAUUAUGUCAUGGAUAGAGUUCCAAGCUAAUUCUUCACAUAUACGGUAAGAAUGUAUCAGUCUUAGAAUGUGUUUUAUUAUAUCAUUUUUUUUAAUUAAGAAAUGAGAAGAUGUUAUUUAUGUUUAUUGAAAAACAUUUUAAAAAAAUUGAAUCAAUCAAUUGUGAAAAAGUUGUUAAUAA